RNAcentral lists this ribosomal RNA (574 nucleotides) under Bacillus sp. (in: firmicutes). RNAcentral's name for it is "bacterial SSU rRNA". It matches the Rfam family "Bacterial small subunit ribosomal RNA", at positions 159 to 719 of the family's 1533-position model. The record is from RNAcentral. Lineage: Bacteria; Bacillati; Bacillota; Bacilli; Caryophanales; Bacillaceae.
GGAGCUAAUACCGGAUAGUUCAAUGAACCGCAUGGUUCAAUGAUGAAAGACGGUUUCGGCUGUCACUUACAGAUGGACCCGCGGCGCAUUAGCUAGUUGGUGGGGUAAUGGCUCACCAAGGCGACGAUGCGUAGCCGACCUGAGAGGGUGAUCGGCCACACUGGGACUGAGACACGGCCCAGACUCCUACGGGAGGCAGCAGUAGGGAAUCUUCCGCAAUGGACGAAAGUCUGACGGAGCAACGCCGCGUGAGUGAUGAAGGUUUUCGGAUCGUAAAGCUCUGUUGUUAGGGAAGAACAAGUACGAGAGUAACUGCUCGUACCUUGACGGUACCUAACCAGAAAGCCACGGCUAACUACGUGCCAGCAGCCGCGGUAAUACGUAGGUGGCAAGCGUUGUCCGGAAUUAUUGGGCGUAAAGGGCUCGCAGGCGGUUUCUUAAGUCUGAUGUGAAAGCCCCCGGCUCAACCGGGGAAGGUCAUUGGAAACUGGGGAACUUGAGUGCAGAAGAGGAGAGUGGAAUUCCACGUGUAGCGGUGAAAUGCGUAGAGAUGUGGAGGAACACCAGUGGCGAA